Non-coding RNA from Vicia faba (fava bean), 330 nucleotides. The record is from the annotation of a GenBank genome assembly. NCBI's taxonomy places the organism in Eukaryota, Viridiplantae, Streptophyta, Magnoliopsida, Fabales, Fabaceae.
AUGAAUGGUGAAGUAGAUGAAUAUUGGAGAUUAGAGAGUGAUCAUGGAGAGAGGGUAGCAAAGAGAGUUUUUCUCCUUGUUAUUUUCUGGUUUUUGUUAGAGGCUAAAGCGGUUAGGAUAUGGUUGGAUGUUAGUUGGUUCAGUUAUGCAGGGCUGAUUAUUGCUAGCAAUUCUGUUUGGUUCUGUUAUGUUUGGUUAGGACCUAUUGGAAAAUUUUCGGUUUUAUGUUAUGUGCAGCGGAAUCGGUUUAUUGGUUAUUGUGAAUUGGACCUAGCUCAACGUCCCAUGGUGCAAAGUUGCAAGGCAAUGGUUUUGAAAUAUGAGGCCUAA